Molecule: transfer RNA, 68 nt
Filed under: Marmota monax (woodchuck)
Lineage: Eukaryota; Metazoa; Chordata; Mammalia; Rodentia; Sciuridae
Description: tRNA.Ser
Source: RNAcentral
GGACUGUAGCUCAGUGGCAGAGCGCUUGCCUAGAAUGUUUGUGGCACUGGGUUUGAUCCUCAGCACCA